AACGAACGCUGGCGGCAUGCCUAACACAUGCAAGUCGAACGAGACCUUCGGGUCUAGUGGCGCACGGGUGCGUAACGCGUGGGAACCUGCCCUUAGGUUCGGAAUAACUCCCCGAAAGGGGUGCUAAUACCGGAUAAUGUCUUCGGACCAAAGAUUUAUCGCCUUUGGAUGGGCCCGCGUUGGAUUAGCUAGUUGGUAGGGUAAAAGCCUACCAAGGCGACGAUCCAUAGCUGGUCUGAGAGGAUGAUCAGCCACACUGGGACUGAGACACGGCCCAGACUCCUACGGGAGGCAGCAGUGGGGAAUAUUGGACAAUGGGCGAAAGCCUUAUCCAGCAAUGCCGCGUGAGUGAUGAAGGCCUUAGGGUUGUAAAGCUCUUUUACCCGGGAUGAUAAUGACAGUACCGGGAGAAUAAGCGCCGGCUAACUCCGUG
This 433-nucleotide ribosomal RNA is filed under the name uncultured bacterium. RNAcentral describes it as "partial 16S ribosomal RNA". It matches the Rfam family "Bacterial small subunit ribosomal RNA", at positions 29 to 507 of the family's 1533-position model. The record is from RNAcentral.